CCACUUUCAUCCUAUAAGAUAUCAAGCAGUAGAAAACUUGUUAGAGAUGCUGCUGCAUUACGACCAAGUACACAUUAUGCGGUAAACUCUGAACUGGAAACUCACAGUAUUAGGCUGCCAUAGGAAAGCACUGUGGGUGAUGUCCUUGAGCAUCUCAUGGAGAAGGUGAAACUUUCUCGUCCAAAUGCAGAGCUAAGGCUUCUGGAAGUAUUAUCGCACAAGAUCUAUAAGAUAUAUCCUAACAGUGAUAAGAUCGCAGCAAUAAAUGACAAUCGUUGGACUUUACGACCAAAGGAGGUUCCAGAGGUAGAGAAAUUUCUUGGCCCAAGUAAAUGUUUGAUUCAUGUGUGUCACUUCAUGCAUGAGGAUGCUCAAAACCAGACGGUUAUCCACUUUCAUCCUAUAAGAUAUCAAGCAGUAGAAAACUUGUUAGAGAUGCUGCUGCAUUACGACCAAGUACACAUUAUGCGGUAAACUCUGAACUGGAAACUCACAGUAUUAGGCUGCCAAGGGAAAGCACUGUGGGUGAUGUCCUUGAGCAUCUCAUGGAGAAGGUGAAACUUUCUCGUCCAAAUGCAGAGCUAAGGCUUCUGGAAGUAUUAUCGCACAAGAUCUAUAAGAUAUAUCCUAACAGUGAUAAGAUCGCAGCAAUAAAUGACAAUCGUUGGACUUUACGACCAAAGGAGGUUCCAGAGGUAGAGAAAUUUCUUGGCCCAAGUAAAUGUUUGAUUCAUGUGUGUCACUUCAUG
Molecule: non-coding RNA, 749 nt
Organism: Sesamum indicum (sesame)
Lineage: Eukaryota; Viridiplantae; Streptophyta; Magnoliopsida; Lamiales; Pedaliaceae
Source: RefSeq, a predicted model, not a curated record